GUCACAGCCCGUCCCAAAGUUUUACACUCGUGAUUGUAAAUUGACGGAAUUUCCCUUAAACGUGAUUAAGAUAUGUGAAUCAUAUAUUGGUGAAAUAUAUGUUUCUAAGUUAUUUGGAGAUGGAAUUUUAUGAUUUGGGGUUAGGUAGGACCACACACCUCAAAUCCCUCCCUAUUUCCCGUACCCUGUCUCUCUCUCUCCUCCCUCACAAUCUCUCAUUCUCUGUCUCUCUCCCUCUCCUUCGAACUCACACAGACGAGCUCCAAAACCACCCUAAAUCUAUACCAACGACGGAGUUAAGACCACCAUCGAACUCCUGGAGACUCCACGAUCACGUAGACACCAAUUUCAGGUAAGUUUUACUUCGGAAAACCUAGAUUCUAAACUCCCUGUGAAAGUGCACUGUUCAUGAUCUUCGAAUUGACUUUGUUUUAGGACAAUCCAAGCUCACAGUGAGCUUAGUAAGGUUCCAAGGAAGCUCGGAGUGCUUCGUUGGAAGUUUUUGGACGUAAGAACUCGGAGAUCGACAAGUUCAAAGUUUGGCCGGAGCUUUCGAGGCAUUUUCCGGCGAAUCCCCGGCGAGUUAGGAGUCGAGGUAGGUAUCAAUCUCUUCGUCUCGUCAAGUACUACAACUUUCCUUUUUGUUUCACUCAAUUUCGUUGAGUAUUGAAGAAGUUAUACUCAUUUGAAAAAUACCCAGUUUCCGGCGACCUCCGAGGCUUUCGAGGCAGUUUCCGGCCAAACCACGGCGAACUAGGUGUUGUGCAAGGUACCAUUUUCUUUGUCUCUUCAAGGGCUACAACUUUCGUUUUUGAAUCACUUGAUUUCGUUGAGAAAUGACAAAGUUAUGACAAUUUGAAAAACUGCCCGGAAAACGGCCGCCGGAAAAACCAGUCCGGCGACCCAAGGAAGAAGAAGGUGCUACAGUUAAAAAAAAAAAAUUAAAUAAAAUUAUUUUAAAAAUAUGUCGACGUCCGUGACGUCGAGUAGAUCACCGUGGUAUAUUCAUAUACCCAAUUUGAGCACCGUAUGAGAAAGUUAUUAAGGAUUGUUGGUUAGGUGUUCGAAUAACGUUUUAUAGUUUUGGUGAAAAUGUGAAUUGACGAUCCGACCGUUGGAUCGUUACCAAACUUUGAUACGUUGUAAUACGUAAUAUUUUUGAGGAUUAUUGGAACUUACGGAUUGGGAAUCCGAGUUACGGAUCUUCCGGAAUUGGAAUUGUAAGUUCCAUAAAAUAAAAUGUUAACCGUCACUUAGUUUUGGAAAUUGACGGAGAUCCGACCGUUGGAUGGUAAUGAAAUUUUAGGAAGUUGUCCUAGAGGUAUAUUGUGGACCUCUGGAAGUUAUGGAUUUAAAAUCUGAGUGGCAGAUCUUCCGGAUCGAACUACGUAGUGACGUAUUUUAUAUAAGUUAUAUAUUCUAUCGACUAUGAAUUCUGAGGUUGGAAUUAAUUAUUGUUUUAGGCGCCGAUCGUCAUGACGCCUUGGCGUAUUGUGCUAGGGAGUUGUAGGGCGAACUCCAGGUGAGUGGGGCAGUUUUGUUUUCCGUAUACAUAUAUACUUGCCGUUUCCCAGAAAUUGAAAAUGCAUGAAAUUAUGCUUUUAAAUGAAAAUGUAUAAAAGUAUAUGAGAUAUAUUAGUUGAGAUGCCAUGCAUAAAAGUAUAUGAAAAGUAUAUAGAAAUGUGAAUCGAAUUGCCAUGCAUGAAAUGAUAUAUGAAAAGUAUGAAUUGAGAUAUGAUGCAUAUGAAUGUGAAAUGGUGCGGCGGACGCACAGAUGAGUAUCAGGUGAGUAUUUAAUUACUGUUAUGAUGAUGUUGAUAUAUAUUGAGCUCAAAUCCUGCACCAUGGUUUAGUGCUUAUAGUAUUCACCGCAUCGCACGCUCGCCUUGGAUCCAAGUAGAUGCUAGUCGUACAGUCCACGCGGAGUGGGUACGACAGGCCAGUCGCGAGAGUGUUAGUGAGAUUCCGACUGGUGGGUGACCUUAGAUUAUGUGCACAGAUGAUUGAUGAGAAAGCACUAGAGCGUAACUUGUGUGCAGAAGGCCGGACGGGUCACAGAGGUGACUCCGGUAGAGUGAUAGUGAUAGAUUUUGAGCUCUAGGUUCAACCGUACAGGGCUAUUAGAGGGCCUCCGGUUGAUUACUUUCUUGCACCUGAUAUGAUUAUUGUUGAUGCAUUCAUCCAUAUUUAACUGUUGAAUUAGACAUGGCAUGGCAUGUUUGAUAAAGAAAAAUGUUGAAAUAGUAAAAAUGAAGUUUUGAGAAUAUAUAUGUAUAUUUUAUAUUUUACAUUUCUGGGAAAGUAUACAGGUUUUACGGAGAGGGGUUACAACGUUUUGAGAAAUGUUUGGAUUUGGAAAAGAAUUGUUUUACUGACCCACUCAAUUUUGGUUUUGCGCCCCUCCAGGUUCAAGAAUCACAAAGGUGUGGUGACUACGAGGAAUUCGACGGUGUUCUGACAGAUUGGACAAAAAUUAGGACUCACCUUCGGGUGUAUCAACUUAUAAAUUGUAUCUUAAAGCUUCCGUACUGUGCAAAUGGUUACGUCACUCUCACGUGACGGCCAGCAUGCCCUCCUUCGGGAUGGGGUGUGUCAGUUGGUAUCAGAGCAUGGUUGCAAUCUUGGACAUUUUGAGAAGUUCUAGUGAAUUCUGUCAGAACUACACCGCCUCGUAGCAAACCACGUAGUUAGAGGAACUUAGUCUCCCUGAUUUAGCGGUUUAGGGGGAAACUAUUAUUAUGGUGAUUCAGUAUAUUAUCAAAAUGGACAUUUUAAGAUGGGUAAUGAGUUGAACUUGAAUCACCUAAGAGAAAUGAUGAACCUGAGGGAGCGAAGUAACGGUUUAACCAUUUGGAAAAGAUGUUUCAGAUUAUGCAAGUCAAAGGAAUCUUCCUUCUGACAGGGGGUCGAGACGACUACCUGGUUUUUCGGUAAUGAAUUUGCAUCCUGGUGGAAACAGGAAUGUUAAUUGUUGUCACCAGAGGAAUCAGCCGAUUUAAAAUUUUUUAUGGAAAAGUUUAUCCCUCCGGCAUUUAUUGAUGGUAGUAAACAAGAGUUUACAAAUAUGAGACAAUGAAGGUGAUGAUCGAGGGAUAUUAUAGAAAGUUUUUAGACUUGCCUCGUUCCAUCCAGAUAUUGUUGUUAAUUUGGUGGAGGUGUUAUGUUGUUUUAAGCUGGGUGGCAAAAAGGGAAGUGGUAAUUUGGGUGACCACUAUCCAUUGUAUUUCUUACCAAGAGUAUACAAGAUGUUGUUGAGCCUUGAGGACUCUGAGAAUAUGAUCAGCUAGAGUAAAAGAAGAAUAAAGAAAAGAUUGGGAAUUAAAAAAGAAGACGAUAAAGUUAAUGAUUCGUCAUAUCAAGGAUAUAGAAAGAUUCAGAGCUUCAAAAGAAGUGAAGCUAGAGUUAAUUCUUCCAGCAGAGGUUUUAAUGUCGCUGGUCAGAAUAAAAGUGAUGGAUAUACUGGUAAUCCCAGAUAUUUGAGACAAGGUGUCUCGAGUAAAGGAAAUAUACUUUGUGCAGCAGGUACAAAAUUAACACUUUGGGAAGUGUGAAAUUAAUGAAUGUGUUUAUGUGAACAGAGGGGACACAGAAUUGUGAAUCGUCCAUAGAAUCAGUUGUACUCAACAAUUUUCCAUGAUAUCAUAGUGUCGAUUCAGCAGAGUUAUGGACUUAGUAGUUUGGUCGGAUUGACCGUGAGUAUAGAGAGAUUUGAUGAGUUAUAUGUUCAGCUGUACAGACCAUGAGAAGUGGAUUCGACUGACACAUGAGAAAUUGGUGAGUUAUAGGCUCGGCCGUACCGACCACGCGGAGUGGAUCCGGCCGUAUUAUUGAGAUAAUUGUUGAAUCAGCCGUACGGGUCAUUCUAGUUGACUUCGGCUGAUAUAUUUCUUAUUAUGUAUGUUAUUACCUUGAGAGUAGUAAAUAAAUGUAGUUGAGAUGAGUGUAUGUAUUUUGCAUUGAGUGACAAAAUAGUAAUGUUAUAUCUUUGAGAGUGGUUGCCUACUUAUCGAGACAACGAUGAUUUAUCAGUAUUGCGGGCUGCAGACCGUAAUAUUAAUAACUCAUUCGUGGAUUCGUUAAGCAAGCAAACCGGUAGAUUAUUUUAUGUUAGUAUAAUAAAAUAUAUAUUGUAUCAGUUAAUUCUGUUCCAUUAGAUUGGUUGGUUAUAAUUGUGAUAAGACGGAAUGUUACGGGAAACCAGUACUUUCCAUCGAUCUGGAUGACCAGAGAUUACUUUUGUAAGUAUGCAAAAUGGAUUGAGUCAGGCCGUUAUUAAUGCUGUGAGAGCAAAUAGAUUGUUUUCGAAAGGCUGUCAAAAAUACUUAGCUCAUGUGGUACUAAAGGAUGUUGCUCGGAGAAGUGUGAAAAAUGAAAAAGGGGUUAGACUUUUUUUGAUGUCUUCCUUGAAAGUAUACCUGGAUUGCCUUCAGGCAGAGAUAUGAGGUUCACUAUUGAAUUUGUUGCCAGGUAUAAUAAAUCUUAUGAUAGAGAUUGGUUCAUGAUGAGUUAAGUGAAUUGGAAAUUCAGUUGAAAGAAUUGGUUGAUAAAAAAUUUCAUUCAACCUAGUACAACACUUUUAAGGAGCACCAGUUUGUUGGUGAGAAAGAAAAUGGACUUAGAGAUUGUUCAUUGAUUAUAGACAAUGGAAUUGGUAACGAUCGAGAACCGUUAUCCAUGAUAGUGUACUGAUGUUUAGUUGAUAAGCUCAGAGAUGUUUGUGUAAUUUCAAAGAUUGAUUGAGGUCUGGUUAUUACCAAUUGAAGAUUUUGAGCGACAUUGAUCAUAAGAUGGUUUUCUGGAUUUGUUAUGAUCUUUUAUGAGCUUUGGUGAUGCUAUAAGAAAACUCACGUUGUUUUAGGAGUUUAUGGAUGAAGUAUUCCACGAAUGUCAUGAUAAAUUGUUAUCAUUUGUCAUUGACGAUAUUCUGGUACAUUCUGAGCCAGAGCAGAGCAUGUAAACAUAUUAAGUUGGUGAAGCAAAGAUUGGAAGAAUGUCGAUUGUAUGCAAAGUUUAGCAAAUGCGAAUGUUGGAUGAAUCAGGUGGUAUUCUGAGAUUUGUUAUAUACUCUUAAGGUAUUCAAGUGAAUCCUUAAAAGAUAGCAGAAAUUGAGAAUUUGGAACAACCACGAGUCGUAAUUGAGAUUUGGAAUUUCUUAGCUUACCAGGCUAUCUUGGAUGGUUGUGAAAGAUUUUUUUUAGUCAUUGAUUUGUCAUUGAUGAGACUGUUGAGAAAAGAGAUUAUGUAUGAGUGGGAAGGAAAUUGUGAGCAAAGGAUUCAAUAACUGAAGUAUUUCCUCACUCAUGCACGUAUUUUUUGGUAUUCCCAGAGAAAAUAGUGGUAAUCAUAAAUUUUUAGUGAUGUUUCUUGAAUGGUAUUGGAGGCAUGUUGAUGCAAAUGUUAGGGUGAUUGCAUACGUUUCACGAUAAAUGGAAUCUCAUAAGAUGAAUUACCCUACUGGUGAUUUGGAAGUCACGAUUACCAUUCUUGCUGUGAAGUUAUGGAGACAUUAUAUUUUAGUGGGAAUGCAAGAUUUUUUUUUACGAAUCCAAAAAGUCUUCAAUAUCCAUUACUUGGAAGGAUUUUGAUAUGAGGCAGCGAAAGUGAAUUGUAUUGCUUAAUGAACAUGAUUGUACGAUCAGGGUGAUCGUAAAAUUUGUUCUAGCUGAAGCACUUGGUGAGAAGACUACAGUAAGAUUAAUAUCUGGCACGUUUGCCAAGAGUAUCAUUUUGUGGAUUGAAAACCAACGGAAGAAAAAUUAAGAAUGGAAGAUCGAGAAGAAGUUAUACUUGUUAAGUAACAAGUUAGUACAUUUACUCCAGUGUUGAGUAACAACCUUUCCCAGACAGUGCAACACUACUUAUUUGUUUUAUGGAAAAGAGAAUUGGAUUACGGAACUGCUAAGUUUCUUAAGUAUGUUGGUUGUGCAGUUUCCGAAGUAACGCCAUAAGGACCAUGAAAAUGUGUCACGUGAGUCGGUUUUUGAUGACUUGUGAAUGGAAUGUUUCUGGGUAGAGAAAGAUUCGAUCGAGAAAGAGUUUUAGUAGACCCUGAGACUAUGGAUGAGUCUCCUUAAAGUAUUCAGGUGAUUAAGUUAACCUGAAGUAAUCAGGAAAUGGCAAAAGAGAUCAACAGAUGGAUAUGCCACUAAUCAAGUGUAUAAGACAGAUGGUUUUAUAUUUUCGAAGUUUUCACCUUGGAAAAGUGUGAUUCGGUCUGGAUAGGAAGGCGAGUUAAAUCCUAGGUGAACCGAAUUUUAUGUGAUCAUCGAAGGGUUGGUGAAGUUGAAUACAGAUUUAAAUGGCUUCCAGAGUUGUUGUAAGUACAUGAUGUGUUUCAUGAUUCGAUAUUUUGGAAAAUUCACCACGAGCAGAAAUGGCGAGAAUUGGAAAGGAGACAAGAUAAGAUUUAGACACAUCAGACCAUUUUUGAUCACUAAAGGAAUCAAUAAAGUUGCAUACAAGUGGUGAUGUCUUCAGAGUUGGCUAAGGUACUUAAUGUAUUUUGGGUUCGAUACGUUGUCACUAGGUGGUAGAUUCGUCACAUGAGAUUCUGGUGCAACUAUUGAGAAUUAAACUGGAUUUGAUUGAUAAGGAACUAAGGACGAUUUUGGAUUGGAGAAAGGAAGUCCUAAGAAUUAAAACAGUGUAAGUGGUAAAAGUUGUGUGAAGAAAUUAUUCGGUGGAAGAAAUUACGUGGGAGAAGAGAAUCGGAUGAGAGAGAUUUACCCGAAGCUAUUGUUGGAGUAUGGUUGAUUUAGUUGGUUGCUGGAAUUUCGGGGACGAAAUUCUAUAAGGUGGGUAGAUUGUCACAGCCCGUCCCAAAGUUUUACACUCGUGAUUGUAAAUUGACGGAAUUUCCCUUAAACGUGAUUAAGAUAUGUGAAUCAUAUAUUGGUGAAAUAUAUGUUUCUAAGUUAUUUGGAGAUGGAAUUUUAUGAUUUGGGGUUAGGUAGGACCACACACCUCAAAUCCCUCCCUAUUUCCCGUACCCUGUCUCUCUCUCUCCUCCCUCACAAUCUCUCAUUCUCUGUCUCUCUCCCUCUCCUUCGAACUCACACAGACGAGCUCCAAAACCACCCUAAAUCUAUACCAACGACGGAGUUAAGACCACCAUCGAACUCCUGGAGACUCCACGAUCACGUAGACACCAAUUUCAGGUAAGUUUUACUUCGGAAAACCUAGAUUCUAAACUCCCUGUGAAAGUGCACUGUUCAUGAUCUUCGAAUUGACUUUGUUUUAGGACAAUCCAAGCUCACAGUGAGCUUAGUAAGGUUCCAAGGAAGCUCGGAGUGCUUCGUUGGAAGUUUUUGGACGUAAGAACUCGGAGAUCGACAAGUUCAAAGUUUGGCCGGAGCUUUCGAGGCAUUUUCCGGCGAAUCCCCGGCGAGUUAGGAGUCGAGGUAGGUAUCAAUCUCUUCGUCUCGUCAAGUACUACACAACUUUCCUUUUUGUUUCACUCAAAUUUCGUUGAGUAUUGAAGAAGUUAUACUCAUUUGAAAAAUACCCAGUUUCCGGCGACCUCCGAGGCUUUCGAGGCAGUUUCCGGCCAAACCACGGCGAACUAGGUGUUGUGCAAGGUACCAUUUCUUUGUCUCUUCAAGGGCUACAACUUUCGUUUUUGAAUCACUUGAUUUCGUUGAGAAAUGACAAAGUUAUGACAAUUUGAAAAACUGCCCGGAAAACGGCCGCCGGAAAAACCAGUCCGGCGACCCAAGGAAGAAGAAGGUGCUACAGUUAAAAAAAAAAAAAUUAAAUAAAAUUAUUUUAAAAAUAUGUCGACGUCCGUGACGUCGAGUAGAUCACCGUGGUAUAUUCAUAUACCCAAUUUGAGCACCGUAUGAGAAAGUUAUUAAGGAUUGUUGGUUAGGUGUUCGAAUAACGUUUUAUAGUUUUGGUGAAAAUGUGAAUUGACGAUCCGACCGUUGGAUCGUUACCAAACUUUGAUACGUUGUAAUACGUAAUAUUUGAGGAUUAUUGGAACUUACGGAUUGGGAAUCCGAGUUACGGAUCUUCCGGAAUUGGAAUUGUAAGUUCAUAAAAUAAAAUGUUAACCGUCACUUAGUUUUGGAAAUUGACGGAGAUCCGACCGUUGGAUGGUAAUGAAAUUUUAGGAAGUUGUCCUAGAGGUAUAUUGUGGAC
Molecule: long non-coding RNA, 8139 nt
Filed under: Malus domestica (apple)
Lineage: Eukaryota; Viridiplantae; Streptophyta; Magnoliopsida; Rosales; Rosaceae
Description: long non-coding RNA (MDOM_LNC010247)
Source: RNAcentral